RNAcentral lists this transfer RNA (76 nucleotides) under Candidatus Falkowiibacteriota bacterium. RNAcentral's name for it is "tRNA-Ala". It matches the Rfam family "tRNA". From Rfam's summary of the family: Transfer RNA (tRNA) molecules are approximately 80 nucleotides in length. Their secondary structure includes four short double-helical elements and three loops (D, anti-codon, and T loops). Further hydrogen bonds mediate the characteristic L-shaped molecular structure. tRNAs have two regions of fundamental functional importance: the anti-codon, which is responsible for specific mRNA codon recognition, and the 3' end, to which the tRNAs corresponding amino acid is attached (by aminoacyl-tRNA synthetases). tRNAs cope with the degeneracy of the genetic code in two manners: having more than one tRNA (with a specific anti-codon) for a particular amino acid; and 'wobble' base-pairing, i.e. permitting non-standard base-pairing at the 3rd anti-codon position. Lineage: Bacteria; Candidatus Falkowiibacteriota. The record is from RNAcentral.
GGGCCAGUAGCUCAUCUGGUAGAGCACCUGCUUUGCACGCAGGGGGUGGCGGGUUCGAGUCCUGUCUGGUCCACAA